GGGCGUGUAGCUCAGUGGAUUAGAGUAAAUGGCUACGAACCAUUCGGUCGGGGGUUCAAGUCCCUCCACGCUCA
Molecule: transfer RNA, 74 nt
Filed under: Staurocarteria cerasiformis
Lineage: Eukaryota; Viridiplantae; Chlorophyta; Chlorophyceae; Chlamydomonadales; Chlamydomonadaceae
Description: Carteria cerasiformis tRNA-Arg
Rfam family: tRNA
About the family: Transfer RNA (tRNA) molecules are approximately 80 nucleotides in length. Their secondary structure includes four short double-helical elements and three loops (D, anti-codon, and T loops).
Source: RNAcentral